AGAGUGUAAAAAAUGAUUUUGUAAAGAAUAAAAGUGUGUGUGUCCACUCUUGUGUGUUUUGUUUUUGUUUUAUGCAUUCACACAGUACAAACAGAUGUUAAAAAAAAAAACUUCAAUGUGUAGACGUGUGUGCAGUAACAUCAGUCAACACAGGAGGGCGCUCCAGGACAAGCAUGAAUAUAGGAAGUGUCCAUGGCUUUGUCUUCGCUCCAAGCGGAAGUGAAACUCUUUAAGUUGACGUUUGAAAUGCGACAGGUGGCGACUUGUCCAGUGUGUACCGAAUGCAGCUGAGAUAGGCUCCAGCACCCCCCGCGACCCCGAAAGGGACAAGCGGUAGAAAAAUGGAAGGAUGGAUGGAUAUUGGAUUGAUGCAGUGUCUGCACCAGGCGAAGCUCUCGAUUUACCGGAUUUCUGGGAUCACCCUCACAGAUAGCGUAAGGAGUUUGGUCAUCCGGGAGAGGCUCAGAAUAGAGCCAUCUCCAGCUGAGAUGGCUCGGGCAUCUACUACAGAUGCCCCCUGGACGCCUCCCUGGUGAGGUGUUUCGAGCAUGUCCAGCUGAGAGGAGACCUCGGGGCAGACCUAGGACAUGUUGGAGGGACUAUGUCUCAGCUGGCCUGGGAAUGCCUCGGUAUCCCCCCUGUGGAACUAGAGGAGGUGGCCGGGAACAGAGAAAUCUGGGUAUCUCUGCUUAGACCAAGGGUGUCUACUGGUUUUAGAUCAGGGCCACAUGGAGAAAAAUCUACUCCCAAAUGUCCGGGCUGGUAAAAUUACGGCCCGAUAACUUACAAACCCCGUUUCCAUAUGAGUUGGGAAAUUGUGUUAGAUGU
Non-coding RNA from Nerophis lumbriciformis (worm pipefish), 828 nucleotides. The record is from RefSeq and is a predicted model, not a curated record. Lineage: Eukaryota; Metazoa; Chordata; Actinopteri; Syngnathiformes; Syngnathidae.